RNAcentral lists this ribosomal RNA (434 nucleotides) under uncultured bacterium. Its description in RNAcentral is "partial 16S ribosomal RNA". It matches the Rfam family "Bacterial small subunit ribosomal RNA", at positions 29 to 507 of the family's 1533-position model. The record is from RNAcentral.
AGCGAACGCUGGCGGCAGGCCUAACACAUGCAAGUCGAACGAACCUUUCGGGGUUAGUGGCGGACGGGUGAGUAACACGUGGGAACGUGCCUUUAGGUUCGGAAUAACUCAGGGAAACUUGUGCUAAUACCGAAUGUGCCCUUCGGGGGAAAGAUUAAUCGCCUUUAGAGCGGCCCGCGUCUGAUUAGCUAGUUGUUUGAGGUAAUGGCUCACCAAGGCGACGAUCAGUAGCUGGUCUGAGAGGAUGAUCAGCCACAUUGGGACUGAGACACGGCACAAACUCCUACGGGAGGCAGCAGUGGGGAAUCUUGCGAAAUGGGCGAAAGCCUGAAGAAGCAAUGCCGCGUGAAUGAUGAAGGUCUUAGGAUAGUAAAAUUCUUUCACCGGGGACGAUAAUGACGGUACCCGGAGAAGAAGCCCCGGCUAACUUCGUG